GGGGCGUUAGCUCAGUUGGUAGAGCGCAACAAUGGCAUUGUUGAGGUCACGGUUCGAUCCCGCUACGCUCCA
This 72-nucleotide transfer RNA is filed under the name Beta vulgaris subsp. vulgaris (sugar beet). It matches the Rfam family "tRNA". Rfam says of the family: Transfer RNA (tRNA) molecules are approximately 80 nucleotides in length. Their secondary structure includes four short double-helical elements and three loops (D, anti-codon, and T loops). The record is from Rfam by way of RNAcentral. Lineage: Eukaryota; Viridiplantae; Streptophyta; Magnoliopsida; Caryophyllales; Amaranthaceae.